This 414-nucleotide ribosomal RNA is filed under the name Fusarium solani. Its description in RNAcentral is "eukaryotic LSU rRNA". The stretch from base 330 to 414 matches the Rfam family "Eukaryotic large subunit ribosomal RNA", at positions 1 to 85 of the family's 3401-position model. The record is from RNAcentral. Lineage: Eukaryota; Fungi; Ascomycota; Sordariomycetes; Hypocreales; Nectriaceae.
UCCAGUUGCGAGGUGUUAGCUACUACGCAAUGGAAGCUGCGGAGGGACCGCCACUGUAUUUGGGGGAGAAUUGCAGAAUUCAGUGAAUCAUCGAAUCUUUGAACGCACAUUGCGCCCGCCAGUAUUCUGGCGGGCAUGCCUGUUCGAGCGUCAUUACAACCCUCAGGCCCCCGGGCCUGGCGUUGGGGAUCGGCGGAAGCCCCCUGCGGGCACAACGCCGUCCCCCAAAUACAGUGGCGGUCCCGCCGCAGCUUCCAUUGCGUAGUAGCUAACACCUCGCAACUGGAGAGCGGCGCGGCCACGCCGUAAAACACCCAACUUCUGAAUGUUGACCUCGAAUCAGGUAGGAAUACCCGCUGAACUUAUGCAUAUCAAUAAGCGGAGGAAAAGAAACCAACAGGGAUUGCCCCAGUA